CAUACACAUUUUUUUGGCCGUGUUUCAAAUGCAGGUGAGUUGCCUACCUAGAUAGCAUUUUUGGCCAUCAUAGGCUGACUUGGAACGCGCCCUUGAUGCCUAAAUAUUUUCUAGGUGGGCAAAUCUCCAGUUUUAGGAAAUAAAUGGAUUUAAGAAAUGGAUUUAAAGUAAACAUUGCUGCUAAUUUUCCCUUUUUUGAGCCUUUAAUCGGGGAGUACGUUGGGACACUUAAAAUUUUUGUAACCUUCUUUGUUCUGAGAUGGGAACUUUACAAACACCUCAGUUAAAGUGUUUAUUGCUGCAUAAUGCAUAGAAGAAUAAUAUCAUUCCGGUUUUUUUCUGUAAGGUAACUAUAUAUUUUUUUAUUUAAUUGUCAAGCUGCGCGAAUCUAUAAAAUCUUCUGUUUUUUAUUUUUUUUAUCAGUUUUAGUGCAAAGGUUAAAAACUGUGUCCACUGUAUAAAAUAUGAACAUGUUUGUUUGAUAAAGUAUUAAUAGAUGCAGGUUUAAUACACUAAAUGUUUAACAAGUUAAUUUUCUUGGAGCAGUGUUAUUGUUAGGCCAAAAGUAGUUAUCAAACAUUGUGUGUAAUAUGGACAAUGUUGCAUAAAAUGCUACACCAAACUUUUUUUCAUAACAGUAAGACAUUUUAUAAUGAAAAAUGUACCCACAAUUUUUAGAUGAAAAAGGUGGGAUCUCUAAAAGUUAAAUACAUGACAUACACAAAAAGUUUGGAGCCAGUAAGAUUUUUACUUUUACUCAUUAAAUUGAUCAAAAGUGACAGUUAAUACUUUUACAUUGUUAAAAAAAAGGCUGCACAACUGUAAAAACAUUAAAACACCCACUGAGCCCAGAUUUUGAAAGGCAUUUCACACAAAUCCUUCCACAAAUGCCCAUUCAACAUGUUCAGUGAGUUGUGUAGAAACACGCAGAAGCUGGCCUGACAAUCUAAAUUAUAUUUGUCUGAUAUAUUGGUGUUUGGUAUGAGAAGGGUAUGACACCUUUAACUUAACAAAUACAGGCAAAAGCUUUAAGAUGUCUGUUCCUCAGUGCACUUUGAUCCGUGGCUGUGCUCUUUGAGUUUGUGUUGUGCAAGAGAGUCAUAGUUUCGUAGUCUUUGCUGUACUUUUAGAAGUACACUUUGGUCGGUCUACUUCUGCUGCUAAAGAAUGGCAUGAUUUUGCAGAUUUUUGGUCUGUUCCGGUAUUAGACGGUUGACCAAUCACAUGUCCAUUAACUAUUUCAACACAUUGUAGGUUAAAAAUGAUAAAACAAAGUAUAUUUCAGAACUGGUCACUGCUAUAAAUCACCAUUUUUGCAGUUCACUUAAAUGGACCUGCAGUGUGUAAUAUUCCUCUCAUGUGUGAGGGCACAAAAACAGCAUUUAUAAUAAUUAUACAACAAUUAUUAAGCAUGUCACAUUGAAAGGCACUGCUUGAAAUGUCACAAGAACUAACCUGUUAUUUAUAGUGUUAUUGUAUGAGAGCCAGUGAAAAGUGUGACUAUAGUAAACACCCUACCCAUGUACACCGCUAUGUUUAAAAUGGAAAUACGGUGGUGUUGGUCAGGGAGAGUCUACUUUGUUGUGUAAUAUCAUAAAACGCUCUUCUGCAGUACUGGAGUACAUUUUACCUGAAAAUACAAUUUCAGUUUUUCUAAUUCAAAAUGGCACUUUUAAUUCAAUGUUACUUGUCGUUUCUUUUUAGUUGUUUAAUAUUUACCUGUAAUUUCUGUUUGAAAAUGGUCAGUUUAUGUGUUUUGAAUUUUCUGUUGCUCAUUGUGUUUAUGUAUUUCUUCAGGUGUUUUGGCACUAUGGGCUCUGGUCACACACAUAAUGUACCUUCAGGACUUCUGGAGAACAUGGUUAAAGGGACUGAAGUUCUUCCUGGUCAUAGGUGUCAUUUUCUCAGUGUUGUCCAUCGUGGCAUUCAUCUCUUUCCUCUGUGUCGCCAUCUCCCGCAAACAAUCUCUCAAAGAUCCCACCAGUCUGUACCUGUCAUGUGUGUGGAGCUUCAUGAGUUUAAAGUGGGCGUUUCUCCUGGCCCUCUAUUCUCAUCGAUAUCGCAAAGAAUUCGCAGACAUCUCUAUCCUCAGUGACUUUUAAAUGUACACACAAUAACACGCUCGUGCCCACAGACAAACAAGUAAAUAAGUGUACAACAUGCUUGGCUGUCACCAUUUAAAAUGGACCAGGAACACUCGACGAGGAGAGUUUGUCUUUUUAGUAAAUCAAGACAUUAGUGUACCACUUCUCUCUCUUUCUGCUAUAGUCUGUCCUGGAUGAAAGAUCUCAUCAGUGAUUUUAAAUUUUGGACUUUUUAAUAUCCAUGAUCAAAAUCAACAUUUCGGAACCUUUUCACUUUUCAGUAUGUAUGGUUUAUACUUUGCAUUUCUGAAUGAGGUAUUAAGAGGAGUCUUUUGUCUUUCUCCUGGCUGCUGUUCUUUUGAAUGUCUCGCUAUGGGAUUAGGAUAAGUGACAGAUUUUUGUUAAGCUGGUGCGUUUUCUCCUGCUAUUGCAUAGCAUUUAGGUUACUCUCUAUUGGUUUUUAAAAUAAGCACUUUAUUGUCUAUAAAAUGUGGUAUAACCAAUCACGAACCUUGUUCAUGUGGGAAUCUUUGAGGCUUUACUGGCAAGGGUUGUUAUGUGGAAAGCCCAAAUUCUCUUCUUGUUUGUACUUUUAUGACCCCAAUUCAUUAGAGAGCAACAUCCAGCACACAUUUGAAUGACAUGAAUGAUUUUUGUAGCAUUUUUUUUUUCCACAAGACAAACAGGGUUAGCGGUUUUUAUGUCUGUCAACUGUUAUAUGGCUGGGUGUUGGUUAGUAUAAUUUCACUCAGAUAAUACUGCAUGCAUUUGUCUUGUAUUAAGUUGAGCUUUUUAUAUUUACAUAAAACAUUAUACUGUUAGAAUGUGAUUUUUGAUUUUGCCUGAUAUAUCAGGCAAUUUUGUGAACAUAUCCAUUAUAAUGUAUUGUAUAUGAAAUCAGUAACUUUAUGUAUUUGUCAGUGACCCAUUAAUAAAAUUACCUGAUACAUUA
Long non-coding RNA from Cyprinus carpio (common carp), 3036 nucleotides. RefSeq lists it as uncharacterized. Lineage: Eukaryota; Metazoa; Chordata; Actinopteri; Cypriniformes; Cyprinidae. The transcript is spliced from 2 exons. The record is from RefSeq and is a predicted model, not a curated record.